RNAcentral lists this ribosomal RNA (253 nucleotides) under uncultured bacterium. Its description in RNAcentral is "partial 16S ribosomal RNA". It matches the Rfam family "Bacterial small subunit ribosomal RNA", at positions 524 to 777 of the family's 1533-position model. The record is from RNAcentral.
UACAGAGGGUGCAAGCGUUAAUCGGAAUUACUGGGCGUAAAGCGCGCGUAGGUGGUUUGUUAAGUUGGAUGUGAAAUCCCCGGGCUCAACCUGGGAACUGCAUUCAAAACUGACAAGCUAGAGUAUGGUAGAGGGUGGUGGAAUUUCCUGUGUAGCGGUGAAAUGCGUAGAUAUAGGAAGGAACACCAGUGGCGAAGGCGACCACCUGGACUGAUACUGACACUGAGGUGCGAAGCGUGGGAGCAAACCAGGA